GACGAACGCUGGCGGCGUGCCUAAUACAUGCAAGUCGAGCGAAUCAGUGGGAGCUUGCUCCCUGAGAUUAGCGGCGGACGGGUGAGUAACACGUGGGUAACCUGCCUGUAAGACUGGGAUAACUUCGGGAAACCGGAGCUAAUACCGGAUACGUUCUUUUCUCGCAUGAGGAGAGAUGGAAAGAUGGUGCUGCUAUCACUUACAGAUGGACCCGCGGUGCAUUAGCUAGUUGGGGAGGGGACGGCUCACCAAGGCGACGGUGCGUAGCCGACCUGAGAGGGUGAUCGGCCACACUGGGACUGAGACACGGCCCAGACUCCUACGGGAGGCAGCAGUAGGGAAUCUUCCGCAAUGGACGAAAGUCUGACGGAGCAACGCCGCGUGAGCGAAGAAGGCCUUCGGGUCGUAAAGCUCUGUUGUUAGGGAAGAACAAGUACGAGAGUAACUGCUCGUACCUUGACGGUACCUAACCAGAAAGCCACGGCUAACUACGUGCCAGCCGCCGCAGUAA
RNAcentral lists this ribosomal RNA (511 nucleotides) under uncultured bacterium. RNAcentral's name for it is "partial 16S ribosomal RNA". It matches the Rfam family "Bacterial small subunit ribosomal RNA", at positions 28 to 523 of the family's 1533-position model. The record is from RNAcentral.